CUCUCAUCCAACGUCGAAAGGACUUUCAUCAGGAUUUGCCGCCACACCCCUCUAUGUCAAAAUGAACGUAUUGGCACUCGUCGUCAUCGCUGCUGCUCUGCUGAUGUGUAAUGUUGAAGUCCAGGCCGAGACACGCGCAGCCGAAAAAUUGAAAGACGGGGCGGACUGCUUGAAAAGUACCGAUUGUAGUUCAGAAAAAUGUCGUAGGAAACCUUAUCCGGAGGCGACCGAAACCGACCUUUAUUGCGAGCCGUAGAGUGCUCGUAUUGUCUGUACUCUGGCAAGUCCGAAUAAAAUCAUCCACCAGAUGUUUCAAAUCUAGGUGCUAACAACGAGAUCGAAAUUUAG
Lineus longissimus is the source of this 348-nucleotide long non-coding RNA. RefSeq lists it as uncharacterized. NCBI's taxonomy places the organism in Eukaryota, Metazoa, Nemertea, Pilidiophora, Heteronemertea, Lineidae. The transcript is spliced from 2 exons. The record is from RefSeq and is a predicted model, not a curated record.